RNAcentral lists this ribosomal RNA (300 nucleotides) under uncultured Vagococcus sp. RNAcentral's name for it is "bacterial SSU rRNA". It matches the Rfam family "Bacterial small subunit ribosomal RNA", at positions 496 to 795 of the family's 1533-position model. Lineage: Bacteria; Bacillati; Bacillota; Bacilli; Lactobacillales; Enterococcaceae. The record is from RNAcentral.
GCUAACGACGGAGCAGCAGGCGGAGUGAUGAGUAGGGGGCUAGCGUGUGCCGGAAUGAUUGGGCGGAAAGAGCGUGUAGGCGGCCCGGGAAGUCCGCGGGGGAAGUCGGGGGCUCAAACCGCGAAUGCCGGUGGGUACUGUCGGGCUAGAGUGCGGAAGAGGCGAGUGGAAUUCCUGGUGUAGCGGUGAAAUGCGCAGAUAUCAGGAGGAACACCGAUUGCGAAGGCAGCUCGCUGGGACGUAACUGACGCUGAGACGCGAAAGCGUGGGGAGCAAACAGGAUUAGAUACCCGGGUAGUC